This 460-nucleotide ribosomal RNA is filed under the name uncultured bacterium. RNAcentral's name for it is "partial 16S ribosomal RNA". It matches the Rfam family "Bacterial small subunit ribosomal RNA", at positions 338 to 795 of the family's 1533-position model. The record is from RNAcentral.
CCUACGGGUGGCAGCAGUGAGGAAUAUUGGUCAAUGGACGAGAGUCUGAACCAGCCAAGUAGCGUGAAGGAUGAAGGCCCUAUGGGUUGUAAACUUCUUUUAUAAGGGAAUAAAAUGCUGCACGUGUGGGAUUUUGUAUGUACCAUAUGAAUAAGGAUCGGCUAACUCCGUGCCAGCAGCCGCGGUAAUACGGAGGAUCCGAGCGUUAUCCGGAUUUAUUGGGUUUAAAGGGUGCGUAGGUGGAUUGUUAAGUCAGUUGUGAAAGUUUGCGGCUCAACCGUAAAAUUGCCGUUGAAACUGGCAGUCUUGAGUACAUUUGAGGUAGGCGGACUGCGUGGUGUAGCGGUGAAAUGCUUAGAUAUCACGCAGAACUCCGAUUGCGAAGGCAGCUCACUGGACUGCAACUGACACUGAGGCUCGAAAGUGUGGGUAUCAAACAGGAUUAGAUACCCUUGUAGUC